RNAcentral lists this transfer RNA (85 nucleotides) under Felis catus (domestic cat). It matches the Rfam family "tRNA". Rfam says of the family: Transfer RNA (tRNA) molecules are approximately 80 nucleotides in length. Their secondary structure includes four short double-helical elements and three loops (D, anti-codon, and T loops). Further hydrogen bonds mediate the characteristic L-shaped molecular structure. tRNAs have two regions of fundamental functional importance: the anti-codon, which is responsible for specific mRNA codon recognition, and the 3' end, to which the tRNAs corresponding amino acid is attached (by aminoacyl-tRNA synthetases). tRNAs cope with the degeneracy of the genetic code in two manners: having more than one tRNA (with a specific anti-codon) for a particular amino acid; and 'wobble' base-pairing, i.e. permitting non-standard base-pairing at the 3rd anti-codon position. The record is from Rfam by way of RNAcentral. Lineage: Eukaryota; Metazoa; Chordata; Mammalia; Carnivora; Felidae.
GCCUGGGUGGUUCAAUGAGUGGAGCGUCUGACUUCAGCUCAGGUCAUGAUCUCACAGCUCGUGGGUUCAAGCCCCACGUUGGGCU